GGGGACCUGGGCAACGGCGCCAGCGCGGGGCGGAGGGCCCUAAGUCUGCAGUCAGGAAAGUCGAGGAAGAGGAACAUGUGACACCACCAGAGAGUUGCUUACGUCCCCUGAGAGGAUGCUACCAAUUUUAUUUCCAGAGGGCUCAGGAAACGAGUGACUUCCAUUUAUGCAAGGACAUUCUAUACUGUGACAGGCUUCGACUGAGAGGUCACUCUUACUCUGCGCUCUGUACCCAGGCUCGGGACAGUCAUCCUUCAGAACAUAUGACUGCCAUGACUGGUCCGACACAAGCGGGAAGGACAGGCGUCUUUAAAAAAUGUGCAAGCGGGAGAGCCUUCGCUGUGCCAGUUUGUCGCACUGUCUCCGAUGAUUAACAGAAGAUCAGGCUGUCCCAUGACCCUCCUGGCAAGCCUGCGAGCAUUCAGAGGGAACUCACACACAUUCUUGAGCAGGCAGUGUGAGCAGGAACCUGCUGAUGACCCAGCAGUCAUGUCUGAAAAAACUAUGUCUAACAUGAGCUGCUGGAAAAUAUUAUCUGACACCUUCUUGCGAUGGAAUGACUUCAUGUUUUUUUUUAAAAGUUGAAAAGGAAUCAAGUAUGUAAGACCAUUUUUAGCUAGCUGUCCAGCCAGCUUCUUUUCUCCAAUCUUACAUUUUAAAAAAUAACUUUAAAGUAGCGUCGGCAUUAACUUAUAUUUGCUCAUAAUAAAAACCAAUGAAAUUUC
Molecule: long non-coding RNA, 725 nt
Filed under: Mus pahari (shrew mouse)
Lineage: Eukaryota; Metazoa; Chordata; Mammalia; Rodentia; Muridae
Description: lncRNA (MGP_PahariEiJ_G0003186.1)
Source: RNAcentral